AGAGUUUGAUCAUGGCUCAGAUUGAACGCUGGCGGCAUGCCUUACACAUGCAAGUCGAACGGCAGCACGGGGCAACCUGGUGGCGAGUGGCGAACGGGUGAGUAAUGUAUCGGAACGUACCUUUCAGUGGGGGAUAACGUAGCGAAAGUUACGCUAAUACCGCAUAUUCUGUGAGCAGGAAAGCAGGGGAUCGCAAGACCUUGCGCUGAUUGAGCGGCCGAUAUCAGAUUAGCUAGUUGGUGAGGUAAAGGCUCACCAAGGCGACGAUCUGUAGCGGGUCUGAGAGGAUGAUCCGCCACACUGGAACUGAGACACGGUCCAGACUCCUACGGGAGGCAGCAGUGGGGGAUUUUGGACAAUGGGGGCAACCCUGAUCCAGCCAUGCCGCGUGAGUGAAGAAGGCCUUCGGGUUGUAAAGCUCUUUCGGCCGGGAAGAAAUCGCAUGGGUUAAUACCCUAUGCGGAUGACGGUACCGGCAUAAGAAGCACCGGCUAACUACGUGCCAGCAGCCGCGGUAAUACGUAGGGUGCGAGCGUUAAUCGGAAUUACUGGGCGUAAAGCGUGCGCAGGCGGUUUUGUAAGACAGGCGUGAAAUCCCCGGGCUCAACCUGGGAACUGCGUUUGUGACUGCAAGGCUAGAGUACGGCAGAGGGGGGUGGAAUUCCACGUGUAGCAGUGAAAUGCGUAGAGAUGUGGAGGAACACCAAUGGCGAAGGCAGCCCCCUGGGUCGAUACUGACGCUCAUGCACGAAAGCGUGGGUAGCAAACAGGAUUAGAUACCCUGGUAGUCCACGCCCUAAACGAUGUCAACUAGGUGUUGGGUGGGUAAAACCAUUUAGUACCGGAGCUAACGCGUGAAGUUGACCGCCUGGGGAGUACGGCCGCAAGGUUAAAACUCAAAGGAAUUGACGG
RNAcentral lists this ribosomal RNA (912 nucleotides) under uncultured bacterium. Its description in RNAcentral is "bacterial SSU rRNA". It matches the Rfam family "Bacterial small subunit ribosomal RNA", at positions 8 to 916 of the family's 1533-position model. The record is from RNAcentral.